Molecule: long non-coding RNA, 3857 nt
Filed under: Marmota monax (woodchuck)
Lineage: Eukaryota; Metazoa; Chordata; Mammalia; Rodentia; Sciuridae
Source: RNAcentral
GUUUUAUUUAGACUCUGUUGUCUCAGGCAAGGACCCAUGUGUUUGUUGGGAGGGGGAGAGCUGGGAUGGAGCCAAGGAUCCUGUGCACGUGAGGUAAGUGCUCUACCACUGAGCAAACCCCAGCCCACAUUUUGGCUUCCACUCUUGCCUCUGGACCCAGACCAGACUUACCCCAUGAGGCACUGGGCCUUCUGCUCUCAUUGCCAUUCUCAACCCAUCCAGAACUUUUUUGAUGUUUCUUUUUGCUGGCUGCUGCUGACCAGAGAGAAUUAUAGGCAUCAACAAUCCCUAGACUCUACUGUCUAAACUGUGCUAUCCUAGGAGAGUAUAGUUUGUCAGACUGUCUAGAGCCAUGCGAGUGGUUGGGGGAGAUUCAAGAGUCAGGGAUUCUCCAUAGUUUUGGCUUCCUGAGCUUCUAGAGCCAAGAAUGCCUUUUCAAUAUUAUAUACCUCUACCUGUGUUCCUUGGGACUACAGUGUCCUGUGAAAUAUUACCAAACAUUUGUUGAAACACCGUGAGCAGGUAAGACUGAAAACUACCCAAAUAAAUGGAGUUCAACCAGCUUAUUCUGUGCAGAACUUGAUGGGGCCUUUAGUGCACAUACAAGUUGUGCCCCCAGUAUUCAGGGACCCUGAAUCCAACUGAUCACAGUUUUCUGUUAUUUUGCCCACUUCUAUUUGCCUCUGCCUUGAUGAGCUUCAGCAAUGAAGAUAUCCCUCCCUUCUUUCUCAUCCAGCCUUUAAGAAAACCACCCUGCCCCUCCCAUCAUUCCUGUACAUCAGUGGAACAACACGGCUUCCGGCCCAGGACCCUUUACCAGGUCUCUGCCUCGGGCACGAGUUCACUUGUGAGUGGUAUAAAUGACUACAUAAUCCAGGGCCAGGCCAUGACUCCCUCUCAACAAGCUGUCAUUUCUAUCCCACAGUGCAGAGGUCCUGAAAUCCUUGUGUGUGGACUUGCAGAGCCACCCCGUGACACUCUUAUUGUCUGAUACUCCUUUACUCUUGCUGUCUGAUGCCCCUUUCCUGCUGUAGGUGCCUGGGGAACAUGGACACAUCUGAAUGCAUGGCACUCACCCCAUCUCACACCCCAACCCUCAGAAGCUCCCAGCUUAAUGCAAGACUUUCCUCUACAAAAUAAUGGACCGUUCACUGGGCUAGCCUCCACUGGACUCAAGGCCCAGUGGGCCUCCCCAUGGUGGCAUCUCCAGCAUUUUCCACAGUGCUGGGUGUUUCCAGGUUUUCACACGCCUGCUUCUUGAUUUGCUGAUUCAAGGCCCAGGACACUCAGGCCAGGUGGUGACUAGAGGGUGAGGUGCCUCUAGGAUGAGACCACUGGGUCCAGGCCUCCCUGAUUCUUGUGCUCUUGGCUUCUUUCCUUAGUAUCCAUGGUGUUUGGUAUUAGCCCAGUUACAAUAUUUUUCUUUUCCCAUGGGCAUAUAUUGUUUUAUAUUUAGCCUUCUCUAACCCUAAUAUAACUUAUAUGUCUUCUAAUUACCAUCAUUUUUUAAAAUCUGUCUUUCAAUCAGAGCAUUAGUCCAUUUAUAUAUAACAAUAUUUACUAUAUGAGUUAAAUCUACUAUCUUAUCAUUUGCUGUCCAUUUACCCCACCUGUUUUAUGUCUCUUUCUCUCCCCUCUUAUCUUCUUUAAUUAGUAUUUUAUUACUCCAUUUCCCCCCAUUAUGUCGUUGUUAAUAAAUUCUUUACUACCCAUUUAGUGAUUAUCUGAACAAUUACAUCAUUUGACCCUGAAUUGUUAUUGAUGUUUAAUAUAAAUUAUUACUCCUACCAGCUUCCAGACAGUGAAAAGGAGCUAGACCAUUUUAAUUCUGCCUAACCCGCUUCUGACUUACAUACAACUGUUAUCACCUAUAAGUAAUAUGACAAGGCAUAUUACUAAUAUCCCAUGUGGCUAAUAUCCAUUUAAACUUGUUUAUGUCAACUCACAUUUCCAUUGCCCCUUGGUCCUUCCUGCCAACUGGGAUAAUUUUCUCUCAGUCGGAAAAACAAUGUUCAGUAUUUUCUUUGGUACAAGUCUACUGGUAAAGAAUUCUCUCAGUUUUCUUGUCUUUACUGUCUUUGUUUUGCUUUCAUUUUUUUUAACUAGAAAUUUUCAAGCAUUCAGAAGCAGGGGAAAUAAUGUAACUGACUUCUAAAUACUUGUCACCAGUAAGCAAUCAUCUCACCUCCAUGUGUUAAAGAUAUUUUCAGUGGGUAAUCGAGGUUGACAAUUAUUUUCUUUCAACACUUUGAAGACAUUCCAUUGUCUUCCAGCUUCUGCUAUUUCUAUAGAGAAGUCAGCUGUCAGUUUAAUGGAUUCUCCUGUAAGUAGACCUAAUCAAUCAUUUUGGAUCAUUUGAUCAAUCAUGUCUGGUGUUUUAUACACUGUGAGGCUCUGAAUCCUCCAGAGAGGACUGAUUUAUGUCUAUUGCAGGCAGCUAAACAAACCAGAUGCAUUAGCAACUCCAGGUUACCCUGAUGCAAUUGGGAACAGAGAUGAUUCAAAACUAGGCUUCCUUCCUUACAAGGUUUGGUCUUUUUCUGAUGCACUAUUAUUUUUCAAGUAUAGCCCUUUGGGGUGCCCUAGCCCUUUUGUCUACAGAAGGCUCCACUUAGGUUCUCAGCCUCUCCUUCAGUAGUUUUAAACCAAAGAAAACACAUCUGGGCGCUUCUUGAAGAAGAAGCUAAGACUGAGGAAGCCCUGGUGUCCUCCUACCCGGGCUAGACUGCUCCGUGCUCUGCUGGAGCUGCCAUGUGAGUGCUCUCCUCUGGUUCGUGGCAGAGAGCAAGGCCUCUACAGAUCUUCCACAGGUCUCAUGGCGCUUCUCCACUGAUGAGCAAAGUAACAAUCACACUGUAUAACUGAGAACUGGUGACAACCCAUGACACUGAGGCCCACAGCUUUUUAUCCCUACACGUUUGCUCUUAGAACAUUUAAAAAAAAUAAGAACAUGAAGCAUUGCUGUAUUUUUGGCUGAUUGGCUAGUGCAGUUUGGUGGGCUCCUGGGAUGGAAUGAAUGUACCAUCACCUUCCAUAUCUGUGGGUUCUGAAGCUGAGGGUUCAACCAGCCCCAGAUGGAAAGUAUUUAGAAAGCAUGUUCUGCUGUUGCUUGAAGUGUACUAUAUAGUUAGGCCCAUGAUGGCUGAAUCUGUACCAAAUACAUACAGAUUUUCUUUUUCAAGUCACUGUUCUCUAAACAAUAGAGUAUGAUGACUAUUUGCAUAGCACUUACAUUGCGUUAGGUAUUGCAGGCCUUGUAGAGAUGGCUCAAAGGGCACAGGAGGAGGCACAUAGAUGAUAUGCAAAUAACACACCAUUUUAUGUAAGGACCUGAGCAUCCACGAUUUUGGUAUUGGGGUCCUGAAACCAAUCCCCUGUGGAUUUGCAGGUUUGAGUCACAAACAGCCCAUGAGCUAUGUGACCUAUGUCAACAGCUCAAUUAUAGUCUAGAUCAGGUUCAAAUGGACCCCCAAAUUUCCUUUUAUGGAUGACUGUGAUUCAAAGGCUCCAGAGGAAAUAGAAAGUCAGUUUCUGGGUUGGGGGCAGCUCUAGGGGAGUAAAGGGACAGUCCCAGGGGUGUGGGCUCCAGAGGAAAGUCAGUAGCAGCUACUCAGCUCCACUGUUAGCACAGAACAAUGGGGACUCCAGGUGUCAGAUCUUUUAAACUUUCAAAAGGAGCUGAAAGUUCAAAAACUAUGUUAUACCCAGAUUUUAAAAUGUUGGUGUAACUAAAACAAAUCUAGGGCAAGUGUAACAAAAUACAUCUUUGGGCCAAAAUCGGCCCUCACAUCACAGUUUGUGACUUCCUUAAUAAUAAAAGUAAGAAAACAUCAGCUUUGCUUCCUUUUUCAUUCCCU